RNAcentral lists this transfer RNA (73 nucleotides) under Candidatus Micrarchaeota archaeon RBG_16_49_10. Its description in RNAcentral is "tRNA-Thr". It matches the Rfam family "tRNA". Rfam says of the family: Transfer RNA (tRNA) molecules are approximately 80 nucleotides in length. Their secondary structure includes four short double-helical elements and three loops (D, anti-codon, and T loops). Lineage: Archaea; Nanobdellati; Microcaldota. The record is from RNAcentral.
GCCCUGGUAGCUCAUCUGGUAGAGCAAUUGCCUCGUAAGCAAUAGGUGGUGGGUUCAAGUCCCAUCCAGGGCU